This 647-nucleotide long non-coding RNA is filed under the name Capra hircus (goat). RNAcentral describes it as "lncRNA (ENSCHIG00000004671.1)". Lineage: Eukaryota; Metazoa; Chordata; Mammalia; Artiodactyla; Bovidae. The record is from RNAcentral.
CCGCAUCCUCCCGACUCCCCCGCCUCAGGUGGCAUUGGACGGACCCACCCCCGUGUGCACGAUCCCAGGACCCAGGCGCCCCUGCCCAGGUGGCCGCCUCACGCCGCCGCCGCCCCCUUCCCAACCGUCCCUCCCUUCUCCCCGCGGGCGCAGAGAGAACAAUAACCCGGAGCGCGCCGGGAAAGCGGAGACUCCCUGGCGCACACUCAAUGCGAGGGGAGUUCCGAGGGGGCGGCCCCAGCGCGCUGCGCGUGCCCGCGGGGCUGCCGGAGGUGGGGGGCGGGACCGCGGCCACUGGCCGGCCCCCCAGGCACUGUUGGAGGCCACGUGGAGGGUAUUUAGGUCAAGCCAUCUUAGCUGAAGGAAUCACAAACUUCUGUAAUGUCUUGGGUGCUGGGCUGCUUGCUUACAAUAAAAAGUAUUUGAAAGGACACUGGCAUCUUUCAUUCAUCCAUUGUGUCAUCUCUUUGGUCAUCUUUUUGCUCUUGUUCCCAUCUGUGGAAUGGCUGACCACUCGCCUCUUUCCUGUGGGUCCUGUCUGGAGUACAAAGUGCAACCCUUUAUCAACCACACAAAUCAGGAGGAGCUCCUAGACCUGGGACCUGAAAAAAAUCCAGGCAAAAACUGAUUAAAGUUUUAACAAAAGG